AUUUGUUGGGAGGCUUGUUUAUUACUGAUUUAAUUUCACAGCAGGUAAUUGGUCUGUUCCAAUUUUGUACUUCUUCUUGCUUCAGUUUUGGGAAGAUAAAUAUUU
This is a long non-coding RNA of Mustela erminea (ermine), 105 nucleotides long. RefSeq lists it as uncharacterized. NCBI's taxonomy places the organism in Eukaryota, Metazoa, Chordata, Mammalia, Carnivora, Mustelidae. The record is from RefSeq and is a predicted model, not a curated record. The transcript is spliced from 3 exons.